This 48-nucleotide transfer RNA is filed under the name Pistia stratiotes (water lettuce). Its description in RNAcentral is "partial tRNA-Phe". Lineage: Eukaryota; Viridiplantae; Streptophyta; Magnoliopsida; Alismatales; Araceae. The record is from RNAcentral.
GUCGGGAUAGCUCAGUUGGUAGAGCAGAGGACUGAAAUCCUCGUGUCA